GGAGAGAUGGCAGAGCGGUUGAAUGCGGCGGUCUUGAAAACCGCUGAGGGAAUAACUCCUUCCAGGGUUCGAAUCCCUGUCUCUCCA
This 87-nucleotide transfer RNA is filed under the name Coxiella-like endosymbiont. RNAcentral describes it as "tRNA-Ser". It matches the Rfam family "tRNA". From Rfam's summary of the family: Transfer RNA (tRNA) molecules are approximately 80 nucleotides in length. Their secondary structure includes four short double-helical elements and three loops (D, anti-codon, and T loops). Further hydrogen bonds mediate the characteristic L-shaped molecular structure. tRNAs have two regions of fundamental functional importance: the anti-codon, which is responsible for specific mRNA codon recognition, and the 3' end, to which the tRNAs corresponding amino acid is attached (by aminoacyl-tRNA synthetases). tRNAs cope with the degeneracy of the genetic code in two manners: having more than one tRNA (with a specific anti-codon) for a particular amino acid; and 'wobble' base-pairing, i.e. permitting non-standard base-pairing at the 3rd anti-codon position. The record is from RNAcentral. Lineage: Bacteria; Pseudomonadati; Pseudomonadota; Gammaproteobacteria; Legionellales; Coxiellaceae.